GCGGACGUGGCGAAAUUGGUAGACGCACCAGAUUUAGGUUCUGGCGCCGCAAGGUGUGAGAGUUCGAGUCCCUCCGUCCGCACCA
Molecule: transfer RNA, 85 nt
Filed under: Neisseria subflava
Lineage: Bacteria; Pseudomonadati; Pseudomonadota; Betaproteobacteria; Neisseriales; Neisseriaceae
Also listed under: 10 other names
Description: tRNA-Leu
Rfam family: tRNA
About the family: Transfer RNA (tRNA) molecules are approximately 80 nucleotides in length. Their secondary structure includes four short double-helical elements and three loops (D, anti-codon, and T loops).
Source: RNAcentral